CCUGGUGGUUAUGGCGGAGCGGCUGCACCCGAUCCCAUUCCGAACUCGGCCGUGAAACGCUCCAGCGCCAAUGGUACUUUGUCU
Molecule: ribosomal RNA, 84 nt
Filed under: Brucella pseudogrignonensis
Lineage: Bacteria; Pseudomonadati; Pseudomonadota; Alphaproteobacteria; Hyphomicrobiales; Brucellaceae
Source: RNAcentral